GGUCGAUUGGCCUAGCGGUUACGGCGUCUGCUUUACAAGACUAUUCAAACUGAAUCCUCUCCAUCGCAGAAGAUCGCAGGUUCGAUCCCUGCAUCGAUCA
This is a non-coding RNA of Colletotrichum godetiae, 100 nucleotides long. The record is from the annotation of a RefSeq genome assembly. NCBI's taxonomy places the organism in Eukaryota, Fungi, Ascomycota, Sordariomycetes, Glomerellales, Glomerellaceae.